UGGCGAACGGGUGAGUAACACGUGAGCAACCUGCCCCUGGCUCUGGGACAACCACUGGAAACGGUGGCUAAUACCGGAUACGACCCGCCUCGGCAUCGAGUGUGGGUGGAAAGUUUUUCGGCUGGGGAUGGGCUCGCGGCCUAUCAGCUUGUUGGUGGGGUGAUGGCCUACCAAGGCGACGACGGGUAGCCGGCCUGAGAGGGCGACCGGCCACACUGGGACUGAGACACGGCCCAGACUCCUACGGGAGGCAGCAGUGGGGAAUAUUGCACAAUGGGCGAAAGCCUGAUGCAGCGACGCCGCGUGAGGGAUGACGGCCUUCGGGUUGUAAACCUCUUUCAGCUCCGAAGAAGCGCAAGUGACGGUAGGAGCAGAAGAAGCACCGGCUAACUACGUGCCAGCAGCCGCGGUAAUACGUAGGGUGCAAGCGUUGUCCGGAAUUAUUGGGCGUAAAGAGCUCGUAGGCGGUGUGUCGCGUCUGCUGUGAAAACUCAGGGCUCAACUCUGAGCUUGCAGUGGGUACGGGCACACUUGAGUGCUGUAGGGGAGACUGGAAUUCCUGGUGUAGCGGUGAAAUGCGCAGAUAUCAGGAGGAACACCGGUGGCGAAGGCGGGUCUCUGGGCAGUUACUGACGCUGAGGAGCGAAAGCAUGGGGAGCGAACAGGAUUA
This 670-nucleotide ribosomal RNA is filed under the name Kineococcus aurantiacus. RNAcentral describes it as "bacterial SSU rRNA". It matches the Rfam family "Bacterial small subunit ribosomal RNA", at positions 96 to 780 of the family's 1533-position model. The record is from RNAcentral. Lineage: Bacteria; Bacillati; Actinomycetota; Actinomycetes; Kineosporiales; Kineosporiaceae.